This 77-nucleotide transfer RNA is filed under the name Rhodospirillaceae bacterium. Its description in RNAcentral is "tRNA-Gln". It matches the Rfam family "tRNA". From Rfam's summary of the family: Transfer RNA (tRNA) molecules are approximately 80 nucleotides in length. Their secondary structure includes four short double-helical elements and three loops (D, anti-codon, and T loops). Further hydrogen bonds mediate the characteristic L-shaped molecular structure. tRNAs have two regions of fundamental functional importance: the anti-codon, which is responsible for specific mRNA codon recognition, and the 3' end, to which the tRNAs corresponding amino acid is attached (by aminoacyl-tRNA synthetases). tRNAs cope with the degeneracy of the genetic code in two manners: having more than one tRNA (with a specific anti-codon) for a particular amino acid; and 'wobble' base-pairing, i.e. permitting non-standard base-pairing at the 3rd anti-codon position. The record is from RNAcentral. RNAcentral also lists the same sequence under 2 other names. Lineage: Bacteria; Pseudomonadati; Pseudomonadota; Alphaproteobacteria; Rhodospirillales; Rhodospirillaceae.
UGGGGCGUAGCCAAGUGGCCUAAGGCACCGGUUUUUGGUAUCGGCAUUCGGAGGUUCGAAUCCUCCCGCCCCAGCCA